Long non-coding RNA from Aegilops tauschii subsp. strangulata, 1108 nucleotides. RefSeq lists it as uncharacterized. The record is from RefSeq and is a predicted model, not a curated record. Lineage: Eukaryota; Viridiplantae; Streptophyta; Magnoliopsida; Poales; Poaceae.
UUCCCCUCUCUCUCCUGCCCAUGCCGCGCGUGCCCAGAGCCGCCCGAGCCCGCCAAUGCGCGUGCGAGCUCAUGGCUCCACCCGGAGCUCUCCCAGCUCCUUCUCUCCCUUCCCCUGGCCGUAGACCAUCUCUACAAACGCCCCGGACACGCACACGCGAGCCCCCGUGACCCCUAGCAACGGCAACGACCUCGCCGGCGCACCCGUCCACGGUGCACCUCGCCCCCUUCUAUUUAAAGCCACCCCCGAGCCCCCUCUCUACUCCUUUGGCUUUCUCUCCCUCCCGUUCACCCCCUGGACCGACCCACUUCCCUCCUCGUGCCCUCCAACCACCUCCAUGGCCGGAGCCUUGCCCUCGGCCUCCGCCAAAAUUCGGAUUCACCACUCCUCCUCCUCCCCUCUGGACUGCACCAGAGCAUCUCCACCAUCACCGCAAGCCAUCCCGCUCUUCUCCCUCUCCUCCCCGUGGUCUUGCCGUCAAGUUCCAUCGUCACCGUCAGCCUCGUCCGCCGCGGCCGACGCCCUGCUCAACCCGGUGCCCCUGGGCGACCGAGCCACCCACGGUUGGACGCGGCCGGGUACCCUGAGCACGCCGGUGGUCAGCUCACCGGAAACGGUGGCCUGUGGCACCGGCAAGCCGCCGUCGACACCGCCCCUGCCCCUACUGUGUUCGAGCGGGAGGUUGGGGAUGAACCCGACAGAUGGGUCCCGCGUGUCGGCGACCCUGAGGGCCGGGCCCGCAGGUUAAGUGGACACGGUUUCUUCGGGAGCCGUCUGCCCGAGGCCAAGGCAUAUUCUAGGCGGGCGCCUUCGACGUCAUCGCUGUCGCCCGGUGCGGUCGUGCGGCUGGGCCAGGCCCAGUGCGUUGCCCCGCUAUGUCUCGCUCAGUGCACGCGGUCGCCGCUCAGAUCCAGCCCGUUUGGUUGACGAAGUAGACGCAAUGCUUGGAGUUGGACCAGAGAUAUUUGAAGACUUGAAGACUCUGAUGAACCAGGCAAGCAGCCCUUUGACCAUGUCUAUGAAACCCUUUUUAUGCAUGUCAUAUAGCACCAUAUUGUUGUUGCAACGGAAUCAUGAUGAGGUGGUAACCACCUUGAUGGGUUGCCUC